Molecule: ribosomal RNA, 253 nt
Filed under: uncultured prokaryote
Description: partial 16S ribosomal RNA
Rfam family: Bacterial small subunit ribosomal RNA
Source: RNAcentral
ACGGAGGAUCCAAGCGUUAUCCGGAAUCAUUGGGUUUAAAGGGUCCGUAGGCGGUUUUGUAAGUCAGUGGUGAAAGCCCAUCGCUCAACGGUGGAACGGCCAUUGAUACUGCAAGACUUGAAUUAUUAGGAAGUAACUAGAAUAUGUAGUGUAGCGGUGAAAUGCUUAGAGAUUACAUGGAAUACCAAUUGCGAAGGCAGGUUACUACUAAUUGAUUGACGCUGAUGGACGAAAGCGUGGGGAGCGAACAGGA